Pangasianodon gigas (Mekong giant catfish) is the source of this 72-nucleotide non-coding RNA. The record is from the annotation of a GenBank genome assembly. Lineage: Eukaryota; Metazoa; Chordata; Actinopteri; Siluriformes; Pangasiidae.
UCCCUGUAGGACUAGUGGUUAGGCCACAAUGCUCUCAGCGUUACGGCUAGGGUUCGAUUCCCGGCCAGGGAA